GAAAUAUGAAGAUUUUCAGAAAAACAAGAUCUCAAAAAUGAUAUUUGUUCAGAAGUUGAGGCAAAUAGCUGGAGAUACAUCACUACUUAAGAGUUGUCAUGAUAUUGUAUCCAAACAUUAAGGUAGAGCAAGGGGUCUGACUCUGUAUUUUCCUUAUUUUUUUUUAUUUAACUAUUACUAUUGUAAUAUUGUAAACUCUGUGAUAACUAUAGUCUAUAGAGUAUUUAGUUGAGCAAGUUAAUUG
This 244-nucleotide unclassified non-coding RNA is filed under the name Hevea brasiliensis (rubber tree). The record is from RNAcentral. Lineage: Eukaryota; Viridiplantae; Streptophyta; Magnoliopsida; Malpighiales; Euphorbiaceae.